GGAGGCAACGGGGAUUCGACUUCCCCUGGGGGUA
This 34-nucleotide transfer RNA is filed under the name Bulbophyllum sp. 9 AG-2021. Its description in RNAcentral is "partial tRNA-Glu". The record is from RNAcentral. Lineage: Eukaryota; Viridiplantae; Streptophyta; Magnoliopsida; Asparagales; Orchidaceae.